This is a long non-coding RNA of Zonotrichia albicollis (white-throated sparrow), 2097 nucleotides long. RefSeq lists it as uncharacterized. The record is from RefSeq and is a predicted model, not a curated record. NCBI's taxonomy places the organism in Eukaryota, Metazoa, Chordata, Aves, Passeriformes, Passerellidae.
UGAAAAUUCUGUGGGAUGGAGAGACAUGGUGGAUUGUUGAAAUACUACCUAAUGUUUAUCCUGCAGUGAUUCAAAACAAGCCAUCCAAGCUUAAAGGAAAACACUGUUCAUCACUGGAAGCUACUUCCCACAGCAGGCCUUAAUGAAAAAUAUUCCAAAGUUCAGCGACAGUUCCAAGUAACUGACAGAUGGAACAAAGUUCACCAAGAACUUUAUUAAGGAAGAGGACAACCUGAGAAGUGCCUUGACAUAUCAGUCCUGAUUUACUGCACCUUACAAGAACUUAUAGGGAAGGUUGGAGACAUUCUUUUCCCAUUGGGGAGUGUUGAAUGGAAUUGCUGUGGAGUGCUGCUUCAUCAGUACUCAGGAGAGUGAUGUUCACUACUACUGGCUGAGAGAUUCUGCUUCUGCUUGAGAGGACACCAAACUGACGGAGUAUAUUAAAGAAAGAAGAAAAAGAGGGAGAGAGAGAACGAAAACAGGACUUGGAUGAUAUUUCUCAGUGUCUGCCAAUAUCUAACAUGCUUUUGGAAAAGUUGUGUAACACAACCUACCAAGAGAGCCCUGUUUGAAUAGAGGCUAAUAAUCCUUUCUAUUUAGUGCUGUUUGUGGUUUUGCAGAGCUGACCUGCAGGGCCUCAUUUUUUGACUGGUGAAACAGGCUGUAUUUUUUCUUAAGGCUAUAAGGAUCAGGAAGUUGUCCUCUGAAUACAUGCCUGACUAGAAUUUGCCAUCAGUUUACCAGCAGCUCUAUUAUUCUUAAGCCUAUAGGACACUUUGAAUGAUAGAAAACCUUGAAUGUUCUCUUUUGUGAAGGCGAGUGCUUGCCUCCAGUGAUCAAACAUGCAGAUAGAAGGUCAGGAAACUUGCAGUAUAAAGUGUUACGUUUGAAAUAAUUUAAAUGAGGACUGUUGCAAAGGGUUUACUUUCUGUUUUGCAGUGUUUUCAGUAUAAUUUCUUUAGAUAUUUUAAUCUACUCUGCAUGACAAAUUAAAGGUAGUGUUGCACAAUGCUUUUCAUUACAGAAAAGUGUCAACAAUGUAAAUUUUCAAAUGAAGGAAUAUGACUUCUAAUAUUGAACUUCUUUUAUUUUCAUGGCCUUUAGGUAAUGGCUAUGAAGAAAAAUACAAGGAAAAUCGUUGAAAUUUUUUGGGGUCUUCUUCAUGAUAAUGAGGGACAAAACUGAGGAGGCAGGUUCCUAUGUGUUUGGAAGUUUGUGUUCAGGGACUCUCCAAGGCUGAUACCAACACUGAAAACUGCUGCCCGAGUCUGAAGCAGGCAGUCUGCCUUCUGAAUAACAGUUUGGCAUGGGAUGGGUAGUGGUAGUGGGUGACUCCCUUCUGAGGGGAGCAGAGGGCCCCAUAUGUUGGCUGGAUCCAUCCCACAGUGAGCUCUGCUGCCUCCCUGGGGCCUGGGUAUGAGAUAUCACCAGGAGACUCCCUGGGAUGAUUCAGCCCUCUGAUUGUUCCCUACUGCUGAUACUCCAGGCUGGCAGUGAUGAGAUUGAAAAGAGGAGUGCCAGGGCAAUUAAAGGGACUUUAGGGCACUGGGUCAAGUGGUUGAUAGGGCAGGAGCACAGCUGGUGUUCUACUCAGUCCCUUUGGUGGCAGAGAAAAACAAUGAAAGGAACAGAGGACCCAACGUUAUCAACAAGUGGCUCAAGGGUUGGUGUCAUCAGCAGAAUUUUGGGUUCUUUGAUCUUGGGGCAACUUUUACAGCACCUGGCCUGCUGGAACUGGAUGGGCUCCAUCUCUCUGUUAAGGGCAGAAGGAUUUUUCUUUAUGAACUGGCAGAACUCAUUGAAAGGGCUUUAAACUAGGUUUGGGGAGGGAAGGGGAUGCAGCUGUGCUCUCUGGGAACAGGCCCAAGAGUGGUAAGGCUGAGUUAGGGGUGAAAUCAGUAGCCCAGUUGAGGUGAAGGUAUGCAUGUACUCAAUAUGGGUAACAAACAAGAAGAGCUGGAAGCCCUGGUGCAACAGCAAAACUGUGAUGUAAUUGCCAUCAUGGAAAUGUUGUGGGAUGACUCAGGUGGCUGGGGUGCUGCACUGGAUGGCUACAAACUCUUCAGGAGAGACAGAAAAAGAAGAAAAAGUGGACAG